AGGUAAUCGUGAACGGCCCAGCGGACGGCAAAGGCACUCUCGUCAGAAAGGUCGACGGCGACGCCGAUCUUGCGGCGGGCGCCGGCGGUGGGAGUCGGAGUAGCAGCGGUGGAAGGUGUGGAGGUGUGAUGGGGGUGGCGAGGGGAGGGUGGGUGGUGGAUCUUGAUGGUGGGGAGUUGAGGGUGGUCAGCGUCUUGGCCUGGAGGAUUCAUUUCCGGUCUGCGAGGAGGAAGAGGAAUAACUACGCUACGCGAUCUAGGGAUAAUCUCGAAAACCAAGACUGUCUGGUUUUUACCCUUUUCUUUGAUUAUCUGCGUUAAUUGAGUUGCAGAGAGGGAGUGAAUCGGGGAUUGGAAAACAGAUUCGUCGACCUCGAGGAAGAAGGAAUGAAAUGGUAAUGGGGUUGGGAGAAUACGGAAAAAAGAGUUGCCACGCGGCAAUUUGCAACAUUAAAUAUAUAUAUAUAUCUCCUGCGUCAAAGUUUGUCGUUUUCCAAAAAAUAUAAUAUUCAUUAUUACAUUUUUAUAUAUAAAAUAGGUUUAAAUAGUAACAAAAUUUAGUAGCAUUGUAAUUCUUUUAUUUAAAUAUUUAUAAUUAACUUUUAUGAACUAAUUUUUCUAAGAAAUUUUAUAUUUAAAAACGAGAUUAAGGACUUAAAUAAAAAAAUUAUAAUAGAUUUUUUACCAUUUAAACUUAGAUAAAAAUAUAUCUCCUGUGAAAAAUUAAAAAGACUGAGUAAAUAGUGUUUAUAAUUAUUUUUUUAAGUAAAAUAUAAUAUAAUAUAUAUAUAAAUAUCUUACAUUGGGAAUUACUAAAAAUGAAAUUUCUAAUUUAAAAUGCAAGUAUGAUAUAUGUUGGUUAAUUAUAAAAUUUAUAAACAAGAUAAUAUAAUUAAUACUAGAUAAAGCCAAAGGGCGAGUAAAUUUUUUAAUAUAAAAAUUAUUGUGAUUAUUGUUUAUAAAUUUUUAUUAUAAUUCAUAAAAAUCCAAUUAACAAAUACGUAUUUUAACUAACAAUUUAAGCUCAUUAAAAUUAAUUAAAUAAAUGUUCAAAAUAUUUGACUCAUCCGCACUUACGUUUAUAUAUUGACUGAAAAUGCGUCCACUCCCACGUGUGGACGUGCCGGAGUGGUUAUCGGGCAUGACUAGAAAUCAUGUGGGCUCUGCCCGCGCAGGUUCGAAUCCUGCCGUUCACGGCUUUACCAAACCACUGUUUUGGAUUUCAUUUAUUUUUCUUUUCGGAGAUACCAGGCCCAAUAAGCUUAGUCAUACACGCGAGCCCAACAUCAGGCGAGCCCAAAAACGAUACCGUUUUUGACAAGCUGAGUCCUGCACGUCCUUUCGCUCAUUAACUGUCGUUGUUUCGAAGAAGAGGAGGAGGGGAAGAGCGGUAGCCGUACAUGCAACGAGGAGGAGAAGAAGAGAUGAAGGAGGAGAAGAAGAAGAGAAAAGGGAAGAAAAGAAGAUAAAGAUGCGUCCGCGCACGCCGAGGAAGAAGAGGACGACAAACAUAAAAAGGCGUGCAAGGAGUCGAGUUCGAGAAGAGAUCUGUCCAUGAUAGGCGCAGGAAGAAGAAGAAGAAGAAGGAGCCAUGGCAGCUAGAGAGAGAAGUAGAGGCACACACGUGAAGAAGUUUGUGAUCCUCGGAGGAUUUCCAGUGGUGAAGCAUGUCCUCUUUCGCCUAUAAAAAGGAGACCCCGUGAGAAUUAGAGGGGGAAAAAAAGCUGGCCGAGAGAAGGGUGAGAGGAAAAAAAAAAGUGAAGCUGAGACCCAGAGAUGAGAGAAAGCCUGAAUAGAGAGAGAGAGAGAGAGAGAGAGAGAGAGAGAGAAAGAGUGAGAUUGUGGAGGUUGAGAGUUUGAAGCAGAAAGGAGAGUUAAUUUGGGUGCUUCCCUAGACCUCAGAAAUAGACUUCCAUUUAUAAUCCUUCAGAAGGUGUUCUCAUUACUAGUGUUUGAAAGUUUUUCUAGGGAUGAUUCAAGUUCGUUAAGUUGUGUCCAUGUUUAAUAUAUGUUGUUUGAUAGAUAGCUUUCCAACUCCAAUUUUGUUUCUCCAAUUCUAACUUUGUUAAUAUAUUAUUGAUUCAUUAGUCUCUGGUUUCCAACUUGCAUCGUAUUUUAAUUUAAAUUAUUGUAUAAAUUUUAGAUUGUGAAGUUGUAAAAUAACUUUAAAGAUUCUUGAAUUUGUAGUUACACGAGUACAAACUUAGUAUUACCACAUUAAGAUUUCGUAUAUUAGUUUACUUUAAGGAGCAUUAUGCAUUGAUAUGGUAUGAGAAUUAUAGUAAUUCACUCUAUCGCAUUUGUGAAUAAAUUUCGUUGAAACACACCAAGCCGCAUGGAAGGAAAUAAUGUCUUUACUUACAUUUUUUUAACAUUUAUAUUUAUUAACGUUUUUGUGUAAGAAUGUAUAUUCAUCAAGUCGGUAAUUUUUUUUUUUAGUUCUUCGGUAUUUUCUUUUUAUGUAUUUCAAAUUAUUUCCUUCACCAAACUCAAAAGAGGCAAUAAUGGAGUAACAAUAAAUUCUCAUUACACACACCACUCUAGUUGAUUAGUAAAAGAAAGAUAAUAAAAAAAAAUAAAAGAAAAUAAAAUAAAUAACAAAAAAUAGUAAUAAUUAAAUAAUCGUGCUACCUUACAACUUCCUACCUCACAUUAUCUUGAAUCCAUAUUUUAUGCGAAAGACCAGCGCACUAAAAUUUUUAAUAACAGUCACGAUAUGCUUAAAAUAAGUGUUCGAGGGAGUGUCACAAAUCCACUGUUAUCAUCCUUGUCGCAUAUCUGCUGUCGCAGAUGCGCUGUGUGACUUAGAACACGAAAGAUAAUUUUCUUCUAUCCGAGUCGAAAGGGCUAGUCGUUAUCUGACCAGUAUUCAUCGACACUCUUUAAGUUGGCUCGAGUGCCGAUGUUUACCGACAUCAACUCGUACUCCCUUACCCAAUCUAUCCGGCUUUGCAGCUCCUCAUCAUUUUGGCAAGGAAGCAGUUGUGAUUCCCUUUGGUCUAGUGUAAGGACGAGACUCAAGAAGGGGUUUUUCACCAUCUUAUAGUGGUAUCGCUGGCCUAUAUAGAAACCGCCCUCCAUCUCUUUUAGGCUAUAUGGUGUCACGGAUUGAUAGGCUCUAUCAAACUUCGCCUAUGAUCUCAUUUCUAAUUAAUUUGGCAAUUCUUAUUUUUAGAUUAAAUUAUUUUUUAUUAAGUUUCGAUCUUACAUCACCAGUACUAAAGAUAUACAUUGACACAUAAAUAUAUAAACAUACACAAUAAAAAGAUUUUGAAUAAUGCAUACAUCAUGCUAAGAUGGCACGCUACGAUUUCCUUUACUUUUUCCAAAUUAAGGUAGGAUUAGAGAUAAGUAGUUAUAUCUUCUUAUUUUUUAUUAAUAAUAUGAUCAAACUUAUCUCAAACAUUAGUCCAAAAAUUGUAACAAAUAAAAUAUAUAGAAUUAAGUAUCUACGUUGGAUCAAUCUAUAAUUUGCUUUACUUUCUCCAAGUUAAGUUAUGAUACGAGUUUUUUUUUUAAAAAAAAAAGAAAAAAUAAAUAAUUUGAGUGCUUUCCUUGAUUUUUAUCAUUUCUUUUUUUGUUGUUCCCCAAAAUAGAAUUCAAUGUAAAUCUUUCAGAGAACGUACUUACUACUAGCGUUUGGAAGCUGUUUUAGGGAUUAUUUAGAUUCAUUAAAUUUUUUAUUUGUUUAAUGUAUGUUAUUUGAUAUUUUGGUUUUCUAUUUCAUGGAAUUAAUAAGAGAAGAUGAACAUUUAAUGCUUAAUAAAAUUUCGUUUAAGACCCUGAUUGAUAAAUGGUUCUAAUGAUAUUAUAUGAGAUUUUGUUUGAGACCUUACUUGAUAAAUAGCUCUAAUGAUAUUAUUUAAAAUUUUGCUUAUUAGAUAGUUUUAACGUUAAAAUCUAAUUGAAAUAAUAUUAUUUGAGAGUUUGCUUGAUAGAUUUUUUUUAGCCCCAAUUUUAUUUAUUAGAUUAUGACUUUGCUAAUAUACCAUGGGAUUAUGACUUUGCUAAUAUACCACGGGAUUGUAUCUUGUAGUUCUCAGUUUCAAGCUUGCAUCACGUCUUAAUUUAAAUUUUGAAGUUGCUCAAUAACUUAAAAUAGGAUGGAGUUCGGGGUUGUAUGGGUAUGAUUUUGGUGUUACCACAUUAAGAAUUUGUAUAUCAAUUUACCUAAAAAAAUGUUGUGGAGGGACGUAGGAUGAGAAUCACGAUCAUUCAUUUUGUCACGAAUAACUUUUUUGUAUGAGACUUGAUAGUCUUUUUGUUUAAAUACAUCAUGUUGCCUGGAAGGAAACGACGUCUUAGAUUCGUUUUCGUCAUUUUUUCACCUUUUAUAUUUCUUACCAUUAUAAAUAUAUAUUCAUCGUCGAUAAUUUUCCUUUUUUUUGGUUUAAUUGGUAUUUCCUUCUUUACUUUUAUGCAUUUCAAAUCCUCUCCUUCCUUAGAUUUCAAAAUAGGCCAAUAACGGAAUAACAAUAAAUUCUCCGUACACACACUACUAUAGUUGUAAUAAAAAAAAAAUAGUAAACACGAAAAAGAAAAUAAAGUAAAAAAACUACAAAAUAAUUUACAUGCAUCACGAAGCAGGUGUCCUCUUCUUAUUUUAUAUUAUCUUGAAUCCUUUUUUUUUUUAUAAACUGAUCAAUGCAGUAAAAUAUUUAACGUCUGAUCAUACUUCAAAUAGAAUAAAUGAUGAUUCUUUAUUUUUAAAUUAAAUUAUUUUUUUUUACUAAAUUUCUAUCUCACACUGUUAAUAUUAUUGAUAUACAAUAAAUAUAUAUAUAUAUAUACACACACUUACACAAAAGAGAAUUUUUUAAAAUAAUGUACACAUCAUGUUGACAUGGCAAACUAUGAUUUCCUUUAUUUUCCUAAGGUAGGAUAAGAGAUAUAUAUAUAUAUAUAUAUACAUAUAUAUCUUGUAUUCUUGAUUAAUAAUAUGAUGCAAGUUAUCUCAAACAUUAAUCCAAAAAUUGUAACAAAUGAAAUAUAUAGAACUAGGGUCAAACUAUGACUUCCUUUACUUUCUCCAAAUUAAGGUAGAAUAGAAUAUGUAUGCAUACACACACACACACACACACACACACUGUUAAUCCAAAAAUUUAUCAAACCAUCAACAAUUCCUGGCUUAAAUUCAAGCAUAUAUAAAUAUAUAUAUAUAUAUAUAUAUAAAUCUUCUAAAGAUUGAUGAUUAAAAAUCACGGAACAAAUAAUAGCAAGAUCAUUAAAGGUGGGAGAAUUAACAAGAACUGACCGCCUGACACAACAACAGAUCAGAGAGAGAGAGAGAGAGAGAGAGAGAGAGGAAGAUUAAAUAGAGGAUUUAUAGCGAAAAUCAAGAUAUACAGACAUACAUAUGUCUGUAUGUAUACUGCAGUUCUUUUUGGAUGAAGAUGAGAUCAGAUAUAUAAGUUCUAUAACAAUAAACGGGAAAUCCAAAAGAACUGUAUCUGGUUUUUGUCUCGCAUAUAAAUUACACCAUUAAAGUAAAAGACCCAGAAACACUAAAAAAGAUACCCAAGAAAAGACACAUUCUCUCACACACAUAUAUAUGUAAGUAUCGACGACUUCAGAGCUUUAGAGACAAAUCAAUGGAAGUAGCUGGAUCACUACUGCUAUUAGCAUAAGAAGCAGUGCUAGUAGUGAGAUGAUUAGAAGCUUCACCAUUACUCAUUGCAUUAACUGAAGCUUCUGCAGGCCAUCCCCUUUUCUCCUUGAUGAUUUUCUCACUUGUUUUUCCCGGAAAAAAUUCAUACUCCAUAACUAAACUCCCACCAUUUUCAUCACAGUUUCCUUUCCUGUGUAUAGCCAUCACCUCCACUUGCUGCAAAAAAAUAAAGUCCCACAUGAUCUAACCCGUCAAAAUCUCUUACAAUUUAAUUCAAAGUUAAUGAAUUGAAAUCAAGUAAUGAAGAUGGGAAAAGGUUAAUCAUAUGUAUAUCAUGACAUAGAAUCAUAUCUAUUCAAGGGUAUACAUAUAUAUUAUAUAUUAGGUGCUCACCUCAUUGGAAUCACGGGAAGCAAAAAGGGGACUCUUAGUUGAUUUCACAGCGCCAAAUCCAUUGAAAUGAUCUCCAUUGAAGGUGCCUGCGUUUUUUUCUCGAUCAACUCCCACAAAAUCACAGCUUUUGCUUGACGAGAAAAAACUCAGACCAUAUUGAUCUUUUCCCGAUCCAUUAAAGCCUGUAUCCAGUCCAUCAGAGCGCUUCUUCUGCAUCAAAAGCCAAUAAACUUAAGACAUCGCAUUUCAAAAGAGAAAAAUUAACGAGAACCUGGGGUGUUUUGAUAACGUUCUUCUUUGCUCUUCCUGCAUUUUCCCAGGAAACAAACGAUAAAGCAUAUAAAAAACAAACAAGAAAUUAAAACACAAGACCUUCGAGCAAGCGUCAAAGCAGUCGGGUCCAGAUUGCUGAAGCAUAGUUUGUAUUGAAGGGAGCUCUUUCGCCGUCUCAAUCUGAACCCUCAUGUCCGAACCAGGAGUUCCAACCCUACCCUGAUCCAUCAUCAAACACCCGGACCCACCACCAUAAAACCCACCAAAUCCGCCAUUUCCGAUCCUGUGAGCCACCAUACGCGGGUCCAAACACAGUAACCCGUCACCACCAAUUGUGGGUCCCGCGUAAUAAGCUCCGCCGUGAAGCACCGGAACACCACCGAUCGAGUCAGUGGUGAAAGGUAAAUGCGGCACAGAGUGAAACUGAUUGGGAACAUGAAGAGCAUUCACCUGUGUAAUAUCCGUCAUCUUCUUCCACCUCUCUUGCAGCCUUAACCGCUCGAGUUGCGCCACCCCCAUUCCUCUCUGCGGCUGCUUUUUCUGAGCCGGAACCUUACUGGGUUUUCUCCCUCGACUCCUGGGCGAUUCGAUUUGGUCCUCCGGCGGGGAAUCAACUUUGGGUUCUUCUUGAUUGGCGGCGUUACUCUGUUCUGCCGCCUUGAACAAGAGUGAACUGUUACUUGUCGCCAUUGAAAAAAUCAAAAGACCUACACAGAGAGAGUUUUUUAUAAUGUUAGAGAAGAUCAGAUGAGAGAGAGAGAGAGAGAGAGAGAGAAAGAGAGAGUUCUGUAUACCGAAAAACCAAACAGUAAUCCUGUGUACGAAAUGCUGAAAACAAAACCUGUAUGCUUGUUUUUGUGAAUUUUGCUAUCUCCACCCACCAGGUCUCUGCUAUCACCAGACUGCACUAUAUAUAGAGAAACGCCUUACGCAGCAAAAUGGCUCCCUGGAUAUAGUAACCUAUGAGCUGGCCCUAGCUGUUCGCGACUAGGAGGAAACAUGCUUAUCCCACUAAACGAAAAACCAAAACCAAUCCACUAUUUAUCACGUGUAUCACACGCACCAAUAAGAAUCAACAGAACUGAAAGUGUAGGGGCCGACGCGGGAAGGGAGCGUAGAAGCGUGCAAAAAGGCCCGAGGGUUGGUACACUGGGACACGCGUCAACACCUGAGACCAUACGCCGAAUAUCUCGGGCUUGGUCUGAGCCGGAGGGGUUAGAACGGUCAUUAGGGUUUCAUAUUUUCGUCGGAAAAUUACAGUAAAAGGAUUAGGUUUAUGCAUGCCGAUGAAUUCGACGGUCGUGAUCUUCUGAUCGCACACAUUAGUAAAUAUUAUUUCUUAUUGUUAAUUAAUUUAUAUUUUUACUCAAACACAUAUUAGAUUUCAAUAAAAAAAAAUUUUUUUUUUAAUAUUUUUCUUUUUGAAAUUUUGUAGAAUGCUGACUUGAAAUUUUAUGCGAAGUAAUAUUUUUAAAUGAUAUCUAUAAAACCAAAGAUGUUAAAUAUUGAAUUAAUAAAAGCAUUUGAAUAGUUAACUUAUCUAACAAUAUACUAAAUAUUAGGCAGUUUAUCUAGAAAUAAUACCCACCUCCAUAAUGGUUGAUUACAUAUCAUAAUGAGAGAUUUCAAAUUUAAUUAAUUUACAAUUAUAUCUAGAUAUUUUAAAUUUGAUUCACUAAUAACAUUUGAUUUUAUCUUAAAUGACCUUAGAUACACCUAAUCCAAAAAUUAGAUUAUAGAAUAGUGGAUAUUUAAAAUUAAAAUUUUACCUAAAAUAAUAAUAAACAUACAUUAUGUUAUACUUAAAUAAUUUAAAUUACUUUAAACUAUAGUUUAUAAUUAAAUUCUUACGUUUUAAACGAAUUAUAUCACUUAAAUCCCAUGAACCCUAUUACAAAAAAUUUAUCAAAUUUUAUCUAUAAGUUAAUUGAACCAAAUUUCCAUAUUUGUUUAAAAUAUAAAGAUUGUGUAAUAAAUUUUAAAUUAAUAGAUAUAACAAUAUAGUAAAGAUUUAGAUAGUUUAAGUAGUUUAUCUGUAAAUAAAUAUCCACCACUUUAAUGGGUUGAUUACACAUUGUAUUAAGAGAUUUUAAAUUUAAUUUCUUAACAAUUACAUUUAGAUAUUUUAAAUUUGAUUUUAAGUAUAAUAUUUGAUUUUAUUUUAAAUGACUUUAGAUGCACCUAAUCUAAAAAUUAAUUGGUACUUCUUCAUCUCUACAAAAAUAGAAAUUCGAGAUUCGAUUUUUUUACCUAAUAUAACAUUAAAUACAUAUUACAUUAUACUUUUAAAAAAAAAUAAAUUAAAUUAAAUUACGGUUUCUCGUUACAUUAAAAUUAUAAUUAAAUUCUUAUGUUUUAAAUGAAUAUAUAACUUAAAUCCCAUGAACUAUAAAAAUUAUUUUUUUACAAAAAUUUAUCAAACUUUCUCUAUCGAAUUAAUUGAACCAAGUUUCCAUAAUUGUUUAAAAUACAAAGAUUAGACAAUAAAUUUUAGAUUAAUAGAUUUGACAAUGUAAUAAAGAUUUAGAUAGUUUAAGAAGUUUAUCUAUAAAUAAAUAUCCACCUUUAUAAUGGGUUGAUUACAUAUAAUAUUGAGAGAUUUUAAAUUUAAUUUCUUUACAAUUAUAUUUAGAUAUUUUAAACUUGUUUUAUUUACAAUAUUUGAUUUGAUUUUAAAUGACUUUAGAUACUCUUAAUCUAAAAAUUAAAUAGUACUUCUCAUCUUUAGAAAAUUAGAUAUUCGAUUUUUACCUAAUACAAUAACAAAAAUAUGCUUUAAAAAAUCUUUAAAUGUAAAAUUCAAAUAUUUUAUCCGAUUAUAACUAAACUCCUUAGAUUAAAAAAAAUCAUAAUUAAAUUCUUAUAUUUUAAAUGAAUAUAUCAUCUAAAUCCCACGAACUAUAAAAAUUAUUAAUAAAUUUUUGAUUUCAAAGUGUUGUUAUUUUAGAAAAAUUUAUCAAACUUUCUCUAUAAGUUAAUCCAACCAUGUUUCCAUAUUUGUUUAAAAUACAAAGACUAUAUAAUAAAAUUUUAUAUUAAUAGAUCCAAUUUUAAGAAUGUCUUAAAAUCAAAAACCUUAAUAAUUUGCCCUUUUUAUUAUUGUAUGGAACGAAAUUUUAGAAGGUGCAACUAACAUUUUCCCAAUAAUCUUUAUAUAUACUUAGAUGGAAAACUAUAUUAUCAAAUCGUGCCAAAGUGGGUAACAUAUACAUAUAUAUAUAUAUAUAUGUAUAAUACUCAAAUUAAGUGAAUGUAUACAUCAUAUUAGUUCUUUAUAAGGAUUUUAUAAAAAUAAAAAUAAAAAAAAUGAAAGGAGAAAUAACUAAGAGUCUUGGGGUAGUGACCGAGAGUAAGAUUUGGUAAUGAAUAUAUGAAUCUGCCUAUUGUGUAGGCUUGUAAUGAUGCCUUUUUUCAAUUAAGGUAAUAUCAAAAAGCUGACCCCAUGUGGUUCCUUCUUAUUUUUAGAAUUUAACUAGCUGUUAGCAAACCCUAUUGUCAACAAGAGAUAAUAUAUAUAUAUAUAUAUAUAUGUAUAGAUUGAUAUGAUGCGUAAUUAAUGUUUAAUUACUUUACUUUCUUUAAUUAAUAGUAUUAAUUCUAACCCAUCAUUAAUAAGGAAAGUUUAAUUUUCUCACAAUCAAUAUUUUUUAGUAAAAAUUUUAUGCAUUUAUCAAUAUUAAUUACGUAACUAGCAUUGGAGAAAAUAACAUUUAAAUAAAAAUACAAAAUAAAUCGAACCCAAAAUUUAUUGUUAAGUUAAAUAAUAAUUAAUUUGGGUGAAGAAAAUAAUUUAAUUUUUUGCUAUAUUUAAAUUUUCUUAUUAAAAUAAUUUAAUAAUGAUAGACUUAUCUAAUAACCCAAAAUAUGGUAUUCAUUUAAAUUAUUAUUAUUUUUUUAAAAAUAAAAUGAAGGGUUCAUUUGUUAUAAUUAAUUUAAGAUUAUUAUAAGAAAAUUGAUGAUAGAAACCGAAUUAUGAUUUCACAUAAUUUAUAUGCUAGUGAUCACAUCGUCAAUAUAUCAUCGCAUAAUAUACAUGUCCACAUAUACGUGCGGUACAUACAUGUAUCUUACAAGGGAAUACUGCAAUAUUUAAACAAUACGAGUAUGUUUUUAUUUUCAUUUAUGAUCAUUUAAAUAUUCAAAAGGUGGCUAUUUUAAUAUUUUUAUAUAAUGUUAUGAGAUUAAAUUAGACUGUACAUUCUGUGUCUACUAAUAUGUUAUAUUAUUGUUAAUUGUAUUAUUAUUAUUAUUAUUUAUUGACUUUUAUUAUUAUAAAAAAAAAGCAUAUUAAACCUGUUAUUACACUAAUUAGUCAUACAUAUAUAUAUACACGUAUAUAUGUAACGUGUGUGUAUAUAAACUAUACACACACUUACACACCCAUCUUUAUCAAACUGAGUACUCGGUCAAAGUCAUAUAUUCCAACCGUCAACCCCAUUUCACACCUCCUCAACAAUCAUGAAGUUUGAAACAAUACAUCCCACAUAUUGCCUAAGAAAACAUCGAACCAAUCACAAGACGCCACAUCGGCAUGCUGCAAAAACGCAUAAACGUUCGUCUUACAAAACAUCAAAAUGCCGUGGCAGAAGAUUAGAGAAAUAAGAAACUCAAACCUCGUGACCAACCAAAAAAACCAUCUAAAGGAUAUUUCGUCUAUACACAUAUAUGUACGUACGUACGUGUGUAUCGAUAUGGUUGGAUCAGAGAUUCGUAUGAAUUGUUUGGAGAGGUGAAAUGUGUAUGUACGUGCAGUUUACAGAUAAAUAAUUUUGCGAUUUGUAUCAAAUCUUAAAUAAAAUAUAAAACAAUAAGGUUUGAUUAAAAUUUGCAGAUCCAAUAAUUAAACUUGUCAAUUUCGUAUGAAUAAAAAUAAAAAAACAACAGCGAACGGCGAAAAUGGAAUGGAAAUCGAGAGGAGGGAGCGACCGACUGCAUGCAGGCGGCGAAGCAUACAGGACCAUAUAUGCAGAAGGAAAAUUAGGAGGAAGAUGGGUGGUUUAACGGUGGGCCCCACGUGGGCCGUGUGGUCCCACCCGAGGCACGUGGAAUGUGGGGACCAUAUACGUUGGGAUUGGCCCCGGGGCGGGCGGGCGGCUGGUGAAGGGGGAGUUGGCACGUGUGAGGAGUGGUGGUGGGGGGAGAGAGAAGAACAUUACUGGGUUUAGGCAAACAUGGAAGGAUUCUUGGGUUCUGGGAAGCAGAUUCUGCCCUGCAUGGAAUGAUUGUGGAUUUCCUUCUUUCUUUUUUUUUUUUUGAAGCUUGGUUUUUGGCCGUCGCAUUAUUUGAAUAUUUAAUUUAAUGUCCACCAUUUUAUAUAACAUAUAUUUAUAAUUUGUAUUCUCUGAACAGAAUUAUAAAGUACAGAGGUGGAAUUAUAAAUUUUUAAACCCUUUUACUAUUAUAACAACUAUUAUUGCUACAGAGGAUGGAAAGUUAUAGAGAUGGCACUAUGCUACGUGGGAUAUAUUUAUAUUCCAGUUUAGAUCAGUGUAGGGGUCCUCUCUUGUUCAUACGACCGGGGGACCAAUUCACACGUGUUAUUCUGUAGAACCAGUACUCCAAUCCAUAUCUCAAACUAAAACUUCUAAACCACAAGGUACUUAUAACUAAAUUUUCAGUAGUAGUUUAAUCAUCAGUAAUUUGGUAAUUAGGGUUCAUCCCAUGGUUUCAGACCCAGAACACCAUACAACCGAACUUUAUGGUGAUUAGGGUUUCCAAGUCAACAAUUUCCAGUCUUUAUCAAUUAUUUUUCUUCAAAAAACCAUUUUAUGAACCACCCAAUUCUCACCGUAUUAUAUUGAUCACCCAACAGACAGGAGGAUAUAAACCCUAAUUAACUACAUGCGUAGUACAAAAAUGAAAAACUUAGCAGGUAAGAAUUUGUGUUUGUUUGGUUGUGGUUACCUAGAGAGUUUCUAUAAUGAAACCAAGACUUGAGAGUAACUGUUAGUUGUCUCUUUAUACAACUUGUGAAAAGAUCUAACCAUUUUAGGACAGCCAUACCCUAAAAGAUCCUCCCAUAAGGACCACUGCCCUACGGGAGGGCACAGAGAUGUAUAUCAUUAUUUUAGAUCUCAAUCUGAACUGAGAUUUGCUUCUCUUUCCCUCUGCUUCUCAGACUGAAAUUACUAUUUUGCCCCAGGAGUGCUCUGGAGAGGCCAUUCUGUCCCACAGCUCCGGCUGUGUAGGGGCAGUACAUGCUCUGUAACGGGCAUAAAGUACGGGUGUCCUACAGUAGGGCAGAGAGAGAGAGAGAGAGAGAGAGAGAGAGGGAGGGAGAAGACAUGCAAAUGUUGGGUGAAUGAAUCAGGGCCGUCCAAACAGGACAAAUCUGGGUGCAUCAAAUAUGUGGGUGGUCUAGCAUUUAUGUACAGUUUGGUGUAAGUGAUGAAUGCAGCAAGUCGCUAUCAUCUGUUAGUUGUGUUUUUGUACUGCAACAAAAAAAAAAAAAAAAAAAACCUAAUAGUACCAAAGACAUCACUCCCAGACACAAAAGCUAGAUAUGUCUGCUGGAUGCUUUGGGGCGUGCAACUCACGCCCCAUCCUGUUAUAUUUCCCUCACCUUUUCUUGGUACUCUUGGGAGCAAAGCAAGAAGCCAAUUACGUAUAAUAACAGUUCCUAACUCAAACUUAUUUUUUCAUUAUCUACAAAUACUUACUAAAUAUAUAUCAAAUAUUGUAUUUUAUGAUUUCAAUCGUGUAAAAAAAAAAUAUAUACUGUAUUCUAGGACAUGCUCUAAAGACCAGACCUACUUAACAAAUAAGGGGAAAUACACACACACACACACACAUAUAUAUAUAUACACAUGAGAGCUGCUGGUGCAAAUUACAUUUCUAACCUAGAAGUGAAUAAGACAAAAAGAGAGUAAAAGAAAUAGUAUAGUAAUUCUAAUUUACAAGUUUUCCUUUAAUAGUGAGAUUUUAAUAAAUAAAAAAAUUUAUAAGUUGAAAGGUAAACAAAACUCAAACUAAAAAAGUAACUUAAAUAAAAAGUUCAUCAUCUCUACUCAUAUUUUGGCAAAAGAACUGAAAAAGACAACUUACUCUUUUGCUGAACUUAUGUAUAAGCCAAGGAAAAAAAAUAAGUUUCUACAAUGGUAUUCGGUUUAACUUGGUUUCUCUUAGAACAACUUUAGAUUUUGACUUGUACAUUUUAAAAACACUUUUAUAACUAAACGGGUGAAGUAAAAAUAUUUCUAGCAAAAACAAAUUUCUUUUUGAAAAAGUUAAAACACAAACUAUAAUUUGUAACUUUAAAAAAUAACUUUUAACUUUUUAAUAAAAAUUUAUACUUGAAAAUAGUUAAAACGGUUUAUAUUUAGUAAAUUUGGCUUACAUGCCAAUAGCUUAUAGGUUACAUUUUUUAAUAUAUUAAAAAAGAAACAAGAAAACAAACUCUCUUCUUUACCUUAUAAGCCAUGCAACAAAACCCAUUUUGUAGUUUAUAUUUUUAUUAAAAUGUCUUUGUUAGAAAUUACAAACAUUCUCUACUUAAUUUUAAGAGUAAGUUUUCCUUUUUUUUUUAACCCAUAACCCAAAGAGAGUUCAAAAGAUUUGCACAACCCUCUUGGAAAAGAGAGGCAGACAUAACCAAAUUAUUUAAGGUGAACUAGUCAAGAGCUUGUAAGUUUUAUGAACUAACGGAGCCGGUAAGUUUAUGAACAAAUAAGUCUUAUUUAUAAGCUACAAUAAGUCCAAAGAUUUUUUUUCUUGGGAAGGAGGAGGGGGAGGAAGUGGAUACAACAACCUUGUAACAAACAAAAUGAUGAGCUUUCUAUGGCCUAUUUAUUUCCAGAAGAGUUGAAUUAGCAAAAAAAAGAAUAAGAAACGGAUUCCAAGUUAUUGAGUUAGAAAUAUAUGGGAUGAUUGAAUGAAUUGAUAUAUGUGAUAUACAAAACAUGAGGGCAUGGCCUACCUCAGCUUUUAACUUAUCUAUCUACAUGUCCCACAUUUGGUUUGCAAAAGCUACACUCGUAGGUAAGAUGAAAGACGCACACAACAUCCAUUUUCCAGGUGCAACAAGGCGUACCUUACGCAUUUCUACAUCGACAGCCACCUCUGAUAGGCCAAUUCUUAUCCGCUGCAUUGAGAGGCGAAAAAAAAAAAGAUAUAAACAUCAGUACAGCCACAGAUUUUAUUAAGGACAGCCAGAUGCACUCCACCCGCCUCNNNNNNNNNNNNNNNNNNNNNNNNNNNNNNNNNNNNNNNNNNNNNNNNNNNNNNNNNNNNNNNNNNNNNNNNNNNNNNNNNNNNNNNNNNNNNNNNNNNNNNNNNNNNNNNNNNNNNNNNNNNNNNNNNNNNNNNNNNNNNNNNNNNNNNNNNNNNNNNNNNNNNNNNNNNNNNNNNNNNNNNNNNNNNNNNNNNNNNNNNNNNNNNNNNNNNNNNNNNNNNNUGCACAGAGAUCCAAUAUCGCUAACAAUGUACUUGACACACUCUCCACUUAGGCAUUACAACAAAUUCAAUUCAGAUUUACCACAACAAAUAGAGAAGUAUACUACCCUUAGCAUGAGCAGCAACUGGUCAAAAUUUUAAAAAUUCAAAAUUAAUAAAUAACAAUCCAAUGAUUGAUCUCAAGUUGAUUUUUCACUCUUGCCAUGCGGGAAGAUACAUUUUAAAAACUCCAAUUGACAGAAAUACUGCCACUUAUUGGCACAGAGAGAAAUGACGACUUUAAACUUAUGCAAUUUUAAUUAGUCAGGUAGCAAAAAACCUCUAAACUUAUAGAGAAUAUUUGAUCAUUACAACAGUAGAACUAAGAAAUUCCACAAACCUUGAAGAUUUCUAAUACUUGCUUGAUAAAGCAAGUACCAUGAAAUAGAACAUGAGGAUGAUGCAGGACUAGUGUUAAACUAAUUUUUCCUGUGUAUAGCUUAGAAAUAGAAGAAGACAAGAAAAAGAAGAACAGAGAUAGGUUAAAGAAAAUUGGGAAUCAAACUGGAGAAAUACCUCAAUCUUCCUCUCAAGUUUGUUGAGUACACUGUUCCUUUCCAGAUAUUCCACUGCAUAGGGGUUCAAAUCAUUAGCAUAUACACGUUUGACUACCUUAGCUGCAGAUAUAGCAAUUGGACCAACCCCAGAGAAAACAUCACCUGUCAAUUACAAAAAGAGCAAAUCAGAGAAAUUAAUGCAUUAGCCUUUGGUAUUUUGCAUAACAUUUUGACGAGCUUUAACAAGUUACACGACAAGAAAAUAUCAGCCAAACAAGAUCUGCAGGGAAAAGAAAUAAGUCACCUAUAUGACCCUUACCAAGGUUUACCGCAACCAGUACAACAGAAACAAAUCUGUAAACAUAGGCCUGAAAAUGGUGUUAAAUCCAAUAGUAUCUCCUAUAAGUCAGAAUAAAAAUAUCUUCUCUUGUGUGGAAGACUGCCUUACUGUGAACUUAAAAAGUUUAUCUUCCAACCUAAAUUUAAUAGCUCUAGAUGUUUAUAUCAUGAUGAGAGCGCCAGAAUUCAACAGACAAUUGAGGGACCCAAGUGGGAAAAUCACACAUUUUUUAUAAGGUGCAUCAAAGAAGGAAGCAAAAAUCAUCAGACAUGUAAUUAUAUAAUUUCUAGCAUGUCUGUUGUAUUUUAUGGUGUAUGCUGUAUUUUAGAUGUGGACUUUAUGUGGGCUAGGAAGGAUAUGGAAGUGGAUAUUUAUGUAAUCCUUGGUAGUAGAGUAGGAAAAAGAUAGGGAGAAAGUGCAGCAGUAACUGUUCUGGAAAUAACCACCAGAACAACUAAUCCUCAUCCUUCUAGUGUAAAUCCACUUGUUGUCUCUGAAAUGGAUAUGCAUGAAAAUUUUGGCAAGUGUGAGUACUUUCGUAAUCAAGAAAUCACAGGAUUUUCUCGUAACAAGCCCUUAAUAAUUUACAAAGAUAGGUAAAGGAAGAAAAGACAGAAAAAACUCUAAAGAUUCUGCAGGUUUCGAUGUAAGUUGACCCAUAACGAGAUCCUAGAAGUCAGGACCAUAACAGCAAUUCAAAACUAGAAAUAUGAAGCUUUAUAAAAGCCCAAAAGGAGUAAGCAGCAUGGUAUAUGCAUGAUAUAACCCGAAGUGAGAUAAUUUUGCAAACAUACAGACAACAUCAGUGCGAUUGAAGCAAUUCAGAAGUCUUUGUCUUUCAGUUGCUAGCCUUGAAUUCCAAUACCUGUAUGCAAGAGAUGGAUACAUAUGAAUUAUAUUUUCAAGUUGAUUGGUUCCUGAUGGAAUCAGAUACAAAAUCGCUGCUGACUGUUGGGUGAUAAAACAGCAAAACUAUGCUUUCUUCACUAUGAUCUAACAAGCAUGCUUGGUAGUAUAUGUAAAUGUUAUCAGAAACAAAGAGAACAUAGAACAUGAAUUUGUUCAACUAUGUACAUGCACUAAGACCUCUGAGUAACUAAAACUAUUUUGCUAACUAUAGGUAACAAAAAAAAAUCAAGCUAAAUGUUUAUUUAGCUUGAAAAGAUAAGAGAAACACACACUGUAGCUAGAUCCACAUGAAACCUCAGUCCAUUCUCGACAACUGUAGUCACAAGGGAAUGAUUUCCUGCCAAAACCUCAAGUUGCAUGGUUCUGUAGUCAUUGUGAAUGGCAUCAAUCUUAUUGACAACUGUUUUUAUCUUUGGCCUAUUUUUAUCAAGAACAACCUGUAAAGAAAAAUAGCUUUUUCUGUUAAAUAGCAGCUUAUCACCCGAAUUAGAAAUUUUGCAACAGAUUCUGGUGAUAACAAAUCAAAUUAACUUCUGGGAAUAAGUACCUUUGCUAUAAGUUUCUUGUAUGGUAGAUGUUCAUCUCUCAGGUUAAGAUGUGCAAUAUGCCCAACCAUUUCAAAGGCUGAAGGGAUGAUCAUACCCUUUGGCAGCAAAGCCUCCAAGAUCUGCGAGCAAAUAAAUUAUCCAUUGUAGUAAGAAAAAAUAUCGAGUAUGAGAAAAUGGGGAAGAAAAAAACCAAAUUUUUGAGUGCUGGUACCAUCUAUGAACUGUUAGAGAACCAGAGAACCUUGGAUAAUCUCCUAGAGUAUUGAAGAAAUAAAAUAAAUAAAACCGCAUUUUGACCAAGGCCAUGGAAAAAAAAAAGCAAAGGAAUCUACAAACCAUUUGAUGAAGAAAACUGAAAAACAUUAUUUCUCUGAAAUCAAAUACCUCAUUCAUCUGCCAAUACUCAUAAAACAAAGUCAGCUUGCAUCUCACUAGCUCAAUAUUUGAGGUUGUACUUUCAUUGGUCUCUUCCCUGAAUACAGCCUGAAAAUAGGACCAGAAUAUCAUAUGUAGGCUUCAUCUGGAAAAACUAACGAUAAAAUUUCAUUUCAACUGAACUAAACUGAACCACAAAAGCAUACAUAAUUCAUUUAUACGUUUGAAAUAAAUCUUGAGAUUUUUAAAUACUUUGUAUUAUUAAUUGAAUUGCUAAAUUUGAAGAGAAGCAAAAAAAAAAAAAAAGGCUUAUUGUAAAUAAUGGAAAACACAUGCCAAUACUAAUGGAAACAAAAUGGCAACCUUCAUCUAGGAGAACAAUCAGCCCAAUCCUUUGUUUGUGAUCCAUUGCAAAAAUGAAGAAGGGCCUUCAAGAACAUCUUUUAAUAUAUGAAUAAUCGAUUGGUUUAUUUUCUAUUAACUUAAGUUUAUAGAACAGUUGACUAUAGUCAAUUAUUCUACACGGUAAUAGAAACAGGAGUCUAGUGUUUGGAUAUUAACUAUUGUUCUGUUCUUUUAAGAAGAUAUUAUUAUCUCAUUUUUAUUGAUUAAUUUCAGCACAAGCUAUCGAUGAUUUCUCUUUGAUCUACGCUUUCAACCUAUCCAAAUUGCAAUAAUAGAUCGUUCUAAGAUGUAAAUAAACAUUUGAUUCUUCGAUACAAAAUUGAAUACGCAAAUCAUUUCAUUAAAUUAACUACUAACUUUCUAACUUCAAAAAAUACCUAUUCAAUCCUAUACUUACCCUUUAAUAAUAAUAUAAAAGCCUGCAUUCAAAUAGUGCAUCCUCACCUACUGUAAAGAUAACAGAAAUCAAAAUCCAAUUCAACUCACAACAGCAACAGAAAAACACUGGUUUUGUUCCAUUUAUGGUUGCUAAAUUCAAAAUUUAACUCACAAGAACAGAAAAUAGCUGCAAAUAUCCACCACCUUGAUAGCCUCAGGCAGCUCCUCCAAACCCUUGUUGGCAAAUCUCUCAUCCAAAAGCAACAACCUUGUGGAACCCUUCCAUUUUCUCCUCCCCCUAAAACCUUCCCCCAACAAUCCCCUCAGUUCAUCUCCUUCCUCCUCCACAACCUCUACCACUGCAAAAUUAUUCUUCCCUUUCCCCUUCUCCUCCUUCACCUCCUCCUCUCCUCCGCCUUUCCCUUCCUUCCUCCUCCUCCUCCUCCUCCUCGGCCUUGAAAUCUUAGCCAAAUUUCUAAACCUCAUAUAUCCCCUCGAGUUAAACGUCUUCGCCAGCUUCUCCCGGUACAAAACCGGACUCAGUUUCUCCCCAUCUCCCUCUGCUCUCCCGUAUAUUCGCCGGUUCAACGAAUCAACAUUGUCCACCACUUCACUUUUGCGGCCCAGGAAAUUAAUUAUAUCAUCGUCAAUUUCAUCGCCAGGAACUCUGGCUAUAUUCCGAAUUCUCGGCCAAUUGAGUAGAUGCCCGCGAAGGCGGCUCUCAAGGGCGAAACAGUCUUUUGCCGGUACACGAAGGGCGUCUACAUCGAAGAUUCUAGUGAAUUGCUCCUCCGCAAGAACGUCUUCCUCGUCCUCCUCUUCACCUUCCCGUUCCUCUUCUUGUUGCUGGAUUCGUUGGAAAUCGGCCAUGGCGAUCUGUUGGGAAUGGUUUUGUGAGCCACCAUGAAAUGGGACUUUGCCUUUGUGGAGAGAAGGGCCGUAAGGGAUGCAAUUGGCGGCGUUGUUUGCGGAGGAGAGAAAUAGAAUGGCAGAUUUUGGUAGCGAAGAGGGUUUGAGGAAGAAGCGAAUUGGAGAGGAGAAUAUAGAGAAAGGAAGGUAGGAGGGUCGUAAGCAGGAUCUGGUUACCAUUGAAAUUGCAGGCGGUGGAGAGUUGGUAAAUGGAUGAAGGGGUUCAAGAGGGUUUUACGGCCCAUUAUUUUUAUUACCAAAAUUCGGUUCCCGCUUUAUUUUAAUUUUCCAAACAAAAUUUAUUUUUUAUCUCAAUUUUAUUUUAUUUAAUUAUAAUAUAAAUUAAAUAUGUAAUAGUAUUUUGUAUUUAAUUAUUACAUAACAUUAAUAAUAAUAAUUUAAGAAAUACACAUCAUCAUUUGAAUGGUUAUUUCAAUUCUAAUUUGAAUUUAAAAUUAUAUAUAACAAUUUAUUUUCGUUGGUUCAGAAAAUAAAUUAACAAAGAAUUGAAAAUAUAUAUAUUUUGUAUGUAAUAGAGAUAAUAGAAAAAUGAAACUGUAAUUCCACCAAAUAACAAAUUAUUUUAUUACAACAAAAUACAUUAAAAAAAUUGAAUAACACAAAAAUUGAAACUCACUAUUCAACAAGAACAAAUUUUUACUAUCAAAUUAUGAAUUUCGUUUCUAUAUUCAUAGUUUGAAUGUGAAAUAUUUACAAACUUAUAAAUUGUAGGAAAAUGUAUACAGACUUAUUACUCUCCGCUCUGUAAAAUUCCUUUUUCAAUGGGCAUCAGAAGCCCGUGAAUGACAGAAAUGCAUGGGGUUAGAAAGCCUGAGAAACUUCGAAAACUCAGACCAAAGCAAAGAAGAUGAUGAUAAAUGAUCAUCCCUGUCAAAUUUUUCUCUAUUUUUAACCUUACCAUUUUCAAUUUUUACUAUUCAAUGGAAACUGUUAUCAAUCUCAAUCAACAUACCCGCCAUCGUAUACUUCAGGAAGAAAAAAAAAAAAACAUGGUGAAAAACAGAGCACCCGAAAGACCCUAAACCAUCUUACGAAAUCCUUGACACUACAACAAUGGCUUCUUCGUGAUCAUUGAUUUCCUUCAACAUUUUUAUUAUUUUUAGCUACCUAUUUCAAUGGAUUGAAAUUAUUGCAGAUUGGGAGAAUUGCGGUUUCUUCUGAAGUUAUCGUUGUUUCUUCUUCUGCUCCUCCACGCCCAUCAGAGGCGGAGGCGGAGGCGACAAUCCAGCCGGAUUUCCUUUCGACUCAGUUCCACUGCAUUUACUCAACUGCGGCACCAAAAAAAGCAACGUUGAAGUGCACAGAAUGGCAAAUACUUUUCCCCAGAGGAUAAGAACCAGGAGGCUGACGAGAACCAGACAGAAGCGAUUACUGUGAUCAAAUUCCCCGCUAGUUCUCUUCUUCUGCGAUGUUUCUUGCCUCUGCAGAGCCCUGUUUUGGUCCGGUAAUCUCGAGGUUGAUGAAAAUGAAGACGACCCAGACGAGGAUGAGGUGUUUGCAGAAGAAUCUUCUAACGAUGAAGAAACUUCAGUGUUGGUUAUUCUACUUUCGUUGCCGGAAAAUCCGUCCCGCGUUGAGUUUUCGCUCGAGGGGUUUUCGGAUUUUGACUUUUGCCGCUUGUCCUUUUGCCCAACUUUUCUUCUGAUCUUCUUCGCCUGUUAACAACAUCAGUGAGGAAUCAGAACCGAACGUCAGAAAUUUGACACAGAGAAUUAGAAAGUGAAAGAGAAAAAAGAAAAGUUGACGAAGAUCGCAACAGAAUGGGUUGAAAGUUGAAAUACGAUUAUCGAGAACAAAAAAAAAAAAGGUACGGCCGAGAGGCUUCUUGAAUUGGUCAACGGAAAAAUAGAGAAGAUAGAACCAGAAAAAAAGAAGGAUCCCAAACAAAACUGCCCACGAUUUUUUUAAAGAAAAAAGAGUUUCCUGAAAGAUUAAAAUUGAAAUUCAAAGGAUCAGAAAUGGAAAUGGAGAAUCAAGAACAUUGGAGUACGACGAUGAACGUGACGCCUCUGUUACAAAGCAAACAGAGAGAAAUAGAACAAGAGCGGCAUUAGUGCAUGUUGUCAUUUUCAGACAAAAAUAAUGGAAAGAAAGACGAAAAUAUAUAUAGAUAAAUAUAUGUAUGUAUAUCAUGAUUCUAACCAGCGAAGUCUCAAAAAAAACUGCUCUGAAAACCCGCGAAAAUCUCCGGUGACCACUUUUCUUUUUCCUGCGAACCUCACCGCCUUUCUCAUCAGAUAAACUCAAACUAGAUGGGAUCCUCCGACACACCGCACCUUCCUUGCGUCCCGACGGGACAACGUACGAGAACACCGGUUCGUCACCCUUCAAACACCGGUCCGGUCCAACCGCAUCGUUUUCAUCCAUAUCUUCCGAUCUAAAACACAAGAAAAAUCUUCUCCCACUGAAAGAACCACUACUCCGACUCCUCUUCAACCCGUUGCCGUCAACGUCUUUCGUUACCGUUGCUAACGCUGUCGUCAAUGCGGGAUCGACGACGAAAUGCGGGGCUUUUGUAGCCAUCGCCGGCCUAUUUCCUUUCCCUUUUUUGUCCGGCUGGGAGCUUCUGCGAAGAUAUAGGGAGUGUUUGGGACCGGAGAAAAUUGUGGGAGCAUCAGAGGAAGUGAAAUAAGAAAAUUUGUGGGCUUGUUGUGUCCUUUCGCUUCCUCUUCUUUUUUCCUACUUUCUUGUGUUGAGUAUUUAUGGAGGGUGGUUUCGUCUUCACGACGAUCCCGCUACUUUGUAUACUCCGUUCAAAAAAUUAACAGGAUUAAACACAACUGGAAAGUGGAUUUAUUAAUUAAAUUAAAUCCUAAUUAAAGGAUUUAAAUGUAAUUAACAGCAUAGUGCGUAUUUAGGAUUAGUUUAUUUUCCUCGUGUUUUUACUGCUGUCAAAACUAUUUUUACUGGUUUUUAUUACAUAAAUAAUUUAUUUACCGAACAGUUAAUUAUAUAACUCCCUGUUUUUACCCUCUUCAUCCUCUAAAAUAUGUUACAAUAUCUUUUCCAAAAACUCGGUGGAUAUUGCUAUUUUAGGAAGCUUAUAAUACUAAUUCUUACAUUAUCACUUUUUUAAAACGUGUUAUUUUUUAAAUAUUAACCCUGAAUUAUUUUUUAAAAAUAGAUCAUUAAUAAAAUAAAUAAUAUUUUAUUGAUUUUUAACCAUGUUUCGUGUUACUAAUUACGUAAUUUUUUAUUUUACAUAUAUUUAAUAUAUUUUUAAUAAAAUUAAUAAUAUAUAUAUAAGGCAAAAGUACAAUAAUUUGCUAUAUAUAAUUUUGUUUAUCUUUAAAUGCCAAGUAGUUUAUGUAAAAUAUAAAAAAAAAUUUAAGGGUAAAAUAUAUUUUUAAAAAUAAUAUUUAAAAAACUCUACAAUAAAAUAUACAUAUUUAUAAAUUAUUUUAUUAUUUUCGUUCUUAUAAUUCAAUUUUUAACGUAAAAAUUUAUUUAUUCAAAUUAAUUAAUGAACUUGAAUAGGUAAACUACGAAUAUUGCUUCAAACAAUAAAAAUUUAUUUCUCUCUAAAAAAUAAAACUUUAAAAAAAUGAAAUGCAUAGAUUGCAUAUGAUAUUCGUGAAUCAUUUAACAUAAUAUAAAUAUCUUAUUGUUAAAGUAAAGGAUAUAUAUGAGAUUAGUCUAUGUAGCUUUUUUUUGACAAAUAUUAUGCGCACCAAAUGCACUAUUUUGUCUCAUUAUUAAUAUUAUUAUUAUUUUAUAGUCUCACAUAAAUUAUAAUGUACAUGAAUAUAAUAAUUAUAAGAAAAGUGAGCAAAACUUUCUAGAGUAAAGGGAAAAAUAAAUCAUUGAUCUAAUUCUAUCAACAAAAUUAGCAUAAAUUAACUCUCUCUCUCUCUCUCUCUCUCUCUCUCUCUCUCUCCCUCUCUUUUUAAAAAGUUUAUAUUGAGAAAAUUUGUUUAAUUUGUUAAAAAUUAAUUAUUUCUAACAUAAUUAUUUAAAAUAUUAAUACUAUUUAAAAUAAUAUUUCUUUGUGAAAAAGUUUAAUAAGAUUAAAAAUAUAAAAAGUGAUUACAUCUACGGGGAUUAGACCCUAGUGACCGAAAAAACUAGCCCAUUUAGUUAGCUUAUCAACUCGUUGGUCUUUAGCCCAUGAGAUCAAUCCAUGUUAUAUGCUAUAAAUUGAGCUCUCAAAACUUUAGUAUCCAGCACCAUCUUCUUAAUAUGUUAGUAUGGAGAAUUCAAGUGAAAGAUUGAACAACAAAUUAAGAGUCAUAUCUUAUUUGGAUUAACUGCAGCCUAUUGAACCUCGUCAUUCAAUGAUAAAAAAUAAUAGUUUUCUUAUUCGUUAUUAGAAGAUACAAGGUAAAUUUCAUUUUACUCUAUGCAUAAUACUUCCCUCGAAGCCAGGAAUCCUCCUAUAAAUUAAUUUUGACCCCCUGUCCACACUCUAUCUAAUAAAUUCUUCAAAUUUAUGUAAACUCGUGCUAAUUUUCCUUUGUAUCCCCUUCUCAUGCAGUCUUUUCGCAACUUUAGAAAAUGAACCCCUAUCUCUAGCACAAAACUUUGACUCAAUCACUCUCCACCAAAUAGUAUAACUUUAUUUCAUGAACCUCUAUAACUAUUUCCUUUGUAUGGGCAUAUUCAUAUCUAUAGAAGAUGUUAACACCAAGCUAUCAUGGGAUAUUGGUUUUUUUACCUCAUCCUAAUUUACAAAAUGAUAUUGUAACUUGUCUCCGAAUCACCUUAUAUGAACCUUCACUGAAUCGACUAUAGCUUCUUAACCACUUUUAUUAGGAUUGCCAUAAAUCCUUGUCCUCAUGUCCUCCGAUUCACUUGUUGCCUCCCAUUACUAAUGACCCUCUAGGCUCAUACCUUACCUUUUAACAAACUAGUUAUUGCAACAAAAUCCUAAUAAUUCAUAAGAUAUUGCCUAUAACUUUCAUGCAAAUAAACACUAAAACUAAGUAUGAUUACAAGAUUUUGCCUCCCUUUUGCAUAGAUAACAACCUUUUACUAUCAUCUUCUCUUUUUUCAUCAAAUUGUUAAUGGCCAAAAAUUAUUUGUCCUCCCUACCUACAUUCCACAUAGUACAUUCUUGAAAUUUAUGUCAACACAUGUUAAUUUUCCUCCAUAUCCAUUUUCUCCAUGGUCUUAUUGUACCUCUAAAAAACUAGGUCCUAUCGACAGUACCGAAUUAUGCCUCAAUCACUCUCCAACAAAAAGUAUCAUUCCCUUUAGAAACCUCUAUAGUUGUUCCCCUUGUAUUGCCAUAUUUAUGUAAACAAAAUAUGUCAAUCCCAUGCCAACGUGAUACAUCAGUUUUUUUGACCUCAUCCGAAUUCACCAAAUGAUGCUUCCUCAUAACCUUCGAAUCACUCUAAAUGAACCUAUAUAAAUCGAUUCUAGUUUAUUGGCCAUUUUUACUGAGAUUAUCAUAAGAGACAUAUAAUGAAUGGAUAAGUUAUUCAAUGUACUUUUAAUAAGCUAUUUAAUGUACUUUUAAUAAGUGUCAAUCUCUCUCAUUUUGAUAAAAAAGUGCCCACUAGUCUUAUUUUAAACCUCCCACCACAGGAUCUUACAUCCUUACAUCUUUAUAGUUAACCUCCAAAAGUAAUCCUGGAUACUUAAUCGGUAAUUUUAUCACUUUAAAUGCCAACACUCUUCAAAUCUUACGUCAAAUCUCCCAUCUCCAGUCUCACUAACUUAAACUCAGUUAAGUUGAUAUUAAGACUCAUAAUCGUCUAUAAACUCAACAAAACUCGUAGAAGAUUAAACAUUGUCCUAUCUUUUAGUUCAUAUAAAUC
RNAcentral lists this long non-coding RNA (24847 nucleotides) under Carica papaya (papaya). Its description in RNAcentral is "long non-coding RNA (CPAP_LNC011748)". The stretch from base 1114 to 1195 matches the Rfam family "tRNA". The record is from RNAcentral. Lineage: Eukaryota; Viridiplantae; Streptophyta; Magnoliopsida; Brassicales; Caricaceae.